UACAGAGGGUGCGAGCGUUGUCCGGAAUCACUGGGCGUAAAGGGCGCGUAGGUGGCGGGCCAAGUCCAUGGUGAAAGCUCGAUGCUCAACAUCGAGUCGGCCACGGAUACUGGUUCGCUGGAGCACUGUAGAGGCUAAUGGAAUUCCGGGUGUAGCGGUGGAAUGCGUAGAGAUCGGGAGGAAUACCCGUGGCGAAGGCGGCCUGCUGGGAUACACCUGACGCUGAGACACGAAGGCGUGGGGAGCGAACGGG
RNAcentral lists this ribosomal RNA (253 nucleotides) under uncultured bacterium. RNAcentral's name for it is "partial 16S ribosomal RNA". It matches the Rfam family "Bacterial small subunit ribosomal RNA", at positions 524 to 776 of the family's 1533-position model. The record is from RNAcentral.